AACGAACGCUGGCGGCAUGCCUAACACAUGCAAGUCGAACGAGACCUUCGGGUCUAGUGGCGUACGGGUGCGUAACGCGUGGGAACCUGCCCUUAGGUUCGGAAUAACUCUCCGAAAGGGGUGCUAAUACCGGAUAAUGUCUUCGGACCAAAGAUUUAUCGCCUUUGGAUGGGCCCGCGUUGGAUUAGCUAGUUGGUAGGGUAAAAGCUUACCAAGGCGACGAUCCAUAGCUGGUCUGAGAGGAUGAUCAGCCACACUGGGACUGGGACACGGCCCAGACUCCUACGGGAGGCAGCAGUGGGGAAUAUUGGACAAUGGGCGAAAGCCUGAUCCAGCAAUGCCGCGUGAGUGAUGAAGGCCUUAGGGUUGUAAAGCUCUUUUACCCGGGAUGAUAAUGACAGUACCGGGAGAAUAAGCUCCGGCUAACUCCGUG
This 433-nucleotide ribosomal RNA is filed under the name uncultured bacterium. RNAcentral's name for it is "partial 16S ribosomal RNA". It matches the Rfam family "Bacterial small subunit ribosomal RNA", at positions 29 to 507 of the family's 1533-position model. The record is from RNAcentral.